Heterocephalus glaber (naked mole-rat) is the source of this 401-nucleotide long non-coding RNA. NCBI's taxonomy places the organism in Eukaryota, Metazoa, Chordata, Mammalia, Rodentia, Bathyergidae. The record is from Ensembl.
AAUGACCGGAGUUUGGAGCCGGACCUUAAGAAAUGAGCAGUGGGGCCGGGAAUGGUAAUGGACGCCUGUAAUCCUGGCACUCUGGGAGGCUGAGGCAGGAGGAUGGCAAGUUUGAGCCCACCGUGGGCAACUUAGAAAUGUAAGGAGACCCUAUCUUAAAAUAAAAAAUAAAGAUACAGCUGGGGAUGCAGCUCAGUGUGAAGGCCCUGGUUCCAUCCCCAGGACCACACAAUAAAAACUGGCACCUGGAUGUCCUUGGUCUGGCUCUGUAGCCCAGGCUGGCCUGGAACUCGCAGUGAUCUGGCCUCAGCCUCCGGAGUGCUGGGAUUACAGGCUUGAACGUGCCACCAUUCUGCCUCAGCCUCCUGGAGCUUUGGGAUUACAGGCAUGCACCACCAACC